RNAcentral lists this ribosomal RNA (587 nucleotides) under uncultured bacterium. Its description in RNAcentral is "bacterial SSU rRNA". It matches the Rfam family "Bacterial small subunit ribosomal RNA", at positions 338 to 916 of the family's 1533-position model. The record is from RNAcentral.
CCUACGGGAGGCAGCAGUGGGGAAUUUUGGACAAUGGGCGCAAGCCUGAUCCAGCAAUGCCGCGUGAGUGAAGAAGGCCUUCGGGUUGUAAAGCUCUUUUGUCAGGGAAGAAACGGCUGAGGCUAAUAUCCUCGGCUAAUGACGGUACCUGAAGAAUAAGCACCGGCUAACUACGUGCCAGCAGCCGCGGUAAUACGUAGGGUGCAAGCGUUAAUCGGAAUUACUGGGCGUAAAGCGUGCGCAGGCGGUUUUGUAAGUCUGUCGUGAAAGCCCCGGGCUUAACCUGGGAAUUGCGAUGGAGACUGCAAGGCUUGAAUCUGGCAGAGGGGGGUAGAAUUCCACGUGUAGCAGUGAAAUGCGUAGAGAUGUGGAGGAACACCGAUGGCGAAGGCAGCCCCCUGGGUCAAGAUUGACGCUCAUGCACGAAAGCGUGGGGAGCAAACAGGAUUAGAUACCCUGGUAGUCCACGCCCUAAACGAUGUCUACUAGUUGUCGGGUCUUAAUUGACUUGGUAACGCAGCUAACGCGUGAAGUAGACCGCCUGGGGAGUACGGUCGCAAGAUUAAAACUCAAAAUGAAAUUGACGG